This 3010-nucleotide ribosomal RNA is filed under the name marine metagenome. Its description in RNAcentral is "bacterial LSU rRNA". It matches the Rfam family "Bacterial large subunit ribosomal RNA". The record is from RNAcentral.
UAUACAAUAUAAGAGCAUACGAUGAAUGCCUUGACACCAAAAGACGAUGAAGGACGUUGCAGGGUGCGAUAAGUUUCGGUGAGGUCCCAAGCAACCUUUGACCCGAAAAUUUCCGAAUGGGGGAACCCAACUUGAGUAAUGUCGAGUUACCAUAUACUGAAUACAUAGGUAUAUGGGGAAGACCUGGCGAAGUGAAACAUCUCAGUAGCCAGAGGAAAAGAAAGAAGUAAAAGCUAUUGAUUUUCAUUCACAGAUUGUGCCGUAAGGUUUGAUCUGUGUAUUGAAGAUCUAUAGUUCGAUUCCGUUAGUAGUGGCGAGCGAACGCGGAACAGCCUAAACCUAUAUUAUGUUGGGCGAUGGAUUUAUUAGUUUUCGAACUUAUUUUGACAUCGUCCUUAAAGGACAGACCGUUGUAUUAUAGGUGUUGUAGGACAGAGAUCUCGGUGAUCUGUAGAACCGGAUUUGUAAUUUAUAUAUAGCCGAAGACUCCUGGAAAGGAGCAUCAUAGAGGGUGAUAAUCCCGUAGGCGAAAUAUAUAGACUUAUGAAUAUCUUUGUUCCUGAGUAGGGCGGAACACGUGAAAUUCCGUUUGAAUCUGCCGUGACUAUGCGGUAAGGCUAAAUACUUUUGGUGAUCGAUAGUGAACUAGUACCGUGAGGGAAAGGUGAAAAGUAGCCCGGAGAGGGCGGUGAAAUAGUACCUGAAAUCGUAUGCUUACAAUGAGCUGGAGUCCUAAGUCACUUUCGGGUGACGGGAUGACAGUGUUCCUAUUGAAGAAUGAGCCUGUGAGUAUGCUGUUAGUUGCAAGCUUAAGGACCUAUGGUCCGAAGGCGUAGCGAAAGCGAGUCUUAACCGGCGAUUAAGUAGCUAACACAUAACCCGAAACUAGGUGAGCAAUCCAUGGCCAGGUUGAACUCUGUCGAAAGACAGAGGGAGGACCGAACACACGCGCCGUGCAACACGCGGUGAUGAGCUGUGGAUAGCGGAGAAAUUCCAAUCGAACCUAGUAAUAGCUGGUUCUCCUCGAAAUAGCUUUAGGGCUAGCUGUAUGUGUUCCCUCUGGGGGUAGAGCACUGGAUGAGGUCGGGGUCCUUCGGGAUACCCACCUCAAUCAAACUCCGAAUACCAGAGAUUAAAAGCAUGCAAGUCAGACUAUGGGGGCUAAGCUUCAUAGUCAAAAGGGAAACAGCCCAGAUCGCAAACUAAGGUCCCUAAAUUAUCACUAAGUGUAAAAGGAAGUGUUAACUCUUAUACAACCAGGAGGUUGGCUUAGAAGCAGCCACCCUUUAAAGAUAGCGUAAUAGCUCACUGGUCAAGAGUUUUCGCACCUAAAAUGUACCGGGGCUAAGUGAUAUACCGAAGUUGCGAAUUCUAUAUUUUUUUAAUAUAGAGUGGUAGAGGAGCGUUCCAAACUGCAGUGAAGCCGGAUCCGUGAGGGCCGGUGGAGCGUUUGGAAGUGAGAAUGCAGGCACAAGUAGCAAAAAUGGGUGUGAAAGACAUCCACGCCGAAAACCCAAGGUUUCCAGGGCAACGAGAAUCGUCCCUGGGUUAGUCGAUCCUAAGGCCAGGCCGAAAGGCGUAACCGAUGGAAGAGCAGGUUAAUAUUCCUGCACUUGGUAUAGUUUGUAUAUGUAUGUAUGUUUCAAAGGUGUGAGCGUUGUAUGGCUACACGUUUCGCAAGAUGGAGACCAAUUCUUCGGAGGCGGUCAACUCGCGUUAGAGAGGCAUCUAGAAGAGUACAUAUGCGCUAGGCUAUAUCAAAUCGUACCGCAAACCGACUCAGGUAGGUAGGUCGAGAAGACCAAGGCGAACAAGAGAAACAUGGUUAAGGAACUCGGCAAAACAGCGGCCGUAACUUCGGGAUAAGGCCUGCCCCAGCAAUGGGGCCGCAGCUAAAGACUCCAUGCGACUGUUUACCAAAAACACAGCUCCCUGCAAAAGCGCAAGCUGAAGUAUAGGGGGCGAUGCCUGGCCAGUGUCAGAACGUUAAGGGGAGGGGUGAUCUCACUUCGGUGAGCGUAGCUCUGAUCUGAAGCGCUGAUGAACGCCGGCGGUAACUAUAACCGUCCUAAGGUAGCGAAAUUCCUUGUCGGGUAAGUUCCGACCCGCACGAAUGGCAUAACGGUGUGGAGACUGUCUUAACCGUGUACUUGGCGAAAAUGCAAGUGUCGUGAAGAUGCGACAUACCCGCAGCUAGACGAAAAGACCCCGUGAAGCUUUACUACAACUUGACAUUGGUACAUUAUUUCAUUUGUUCAGCAUAGGUGGGAGCCUUCGGGCACCAGUGAGAUACCACCCUUGUGUUGUGAUGUGCCUAAUUUUUUCGCAUGAAUCUGCGAAAGAAGACAGUGUCUGGUGGGUAGUUUAACUGGGGCGGUUGCCUCCCAAAAUGUAACGGAGGCGUUUACAAAGGUUGGCUUGAUCCGGAUGGAAAUCGGAUUGGACGUGCAAACGCAUAAGCCAGCUUUACUGCAAGGGCUACCACCCGAGCAGUUACGAAAGUAGAAGUUAGUGAUCCGACCGUACGAUAUAGGACGGCGGAAGCUCAACGGAUAAAAGUUACUCCGGGGAUAACAGGCUGAUAGCGCCCAAGCGUCCAUAGCGACGGCGCUGUUUGGCACCUCGAUGUCGGCUCAUCGCAUCCUGGGGGUGGAGAAGCUCCCAAGGGUUAGGCUGUUCGCCUAUUAAAGCGGUACGCGAGCUGGGUUCAGAACGUCGUGAGACAGUUCGGUCUCCUAUCUGCUGUGGGCGUCGAAUGUUGAAGGAACUCAUCCCUAGUACGAGAGGACCGGGAUGGACAAACCUCUGGUCGACCAGCUGUUCUGCCAAGAGCACUGCUGGGUAGCUAAGUUCGGCACGGAUAAGCGCUGAAAGCAUCUAAGCGCGAAGCCGUUCCUAAGAUUAACAUUCAUUAUUAGAUUCGUUCGAGACGAGGACGUUGAUAGGCACUAAGUGUAAGUCCAGCAAUGGAUUGAGCUGAGGUGUACUAAUAAAUCGAGUAUACAGCGAA